AACGCACCUUGCGCCCUUUGGUAUUCCGAAGGGCAUGCCUGUUUGAGUGUCAUUAAAUUCUCAACCUUGUUUGCUUUAUUGUGAACUCGGCUUGGAUGUGAGGGUUUUGCUGGCUUCCUUCAGUGGCGGUCUGCUCCCUUUAAAAGCAUUAGUGGGAUCCAUUGUGGAACGUCACUGGCUGUGAUAAUUAUCUACGCCUAUCGACUGUGAAGCAACAAAGUGGGAACCUGCUUAUAACCGUCCGCAAGGACAACACUUUAUUGACAAUUUGACCUCAAAUCAGGUAGGACUACCCGCUGAACUUAA
This 306-nucleotide unclassified non-coding RNA is filed under the name uncultured fungus. RNAcentral's name for it is "sequence contains ITS2". The stretch from base 1 to 52 matches the Rfam family "5.8S ribosomal RNA", at positions 103 to 154 of the family's 154-position model. The record is from RNAcentral. Lineage: Eukaryota; Fungi.